Molecule: long non-coding RNA, 565 nt
Filed under: Phoenix dactylifera (date palm)
Lineage: Eukaryota; Viridiplantae; Streptophyta; Magnoliopsida; Arecales; Arecaceae
Description: long non-coding RNA (PDAC_LNC013281)
Source: RNAcentral
CAGAAUCAAAAGGUACUAAUUCAGGAGAUCUGGAACGACACCCUAGCAUACACUAAUACUUUUCUAAUCAGUCAAGUGCGGUCAAGCAUGCAUUAAAAGAAAAAUACUUCAAUUCCUUGUGUUUAUCCUAAAAUCACUAGACAGCUCCUAACUGGUUUGAAGAGGGCACCUAAGCCUCCAAUCCGAUCUAAUGAACUGAGUUGACCAGGUAAGCUCCCAGGUAAGUGGGGGGGUCACGAUGCGUUUGCAAAGGUCCCACUUAAAAACCACUUGCCUCGAACAAAUGAACUGUCUCCCUUACAGGGACAAAGCUUGCCUAGACAUCAACUGAGCCACAGAGCGAAAUUGGUGCAACUUUCGGUGAUCUUCGUCCUAUUGAGCUCGAAUGUCCCUAGGGGCCAACGUCUAAUUAAUUUUAAUUAAAGUGAUAGCUAUGUGAGAAUUGAUUCACCUAAUUUGGGCAAGAAUCUGGUGAUGAAAUCCAGUUCUUAUCUUGUUGGAGUGAUUGCCCUUACUAUGUGCGGAUUAAUUGGUGUAUGUAUAUCAAGCAUGCAUUCACACUUUU